UGGGCCAACCGCUUCCUCUCCGAUCGCUCACCUUGCCCAUGUUUUCGCCGCGGCCCGGCUCGACCGAGCGUCUGCAGGAGAUCGCGAAGCUUUGCCUUCGUCGCUGUCGGUAGGGGUAUCUUCUUCGAUUUGUUCCACAUCGCGUCGUACUCCGACGAUGCUGCCAUCGCCAGAUCCCUUUCUACGGCGCCGAAGUAGGCUUGAUUUCACUCAGGGCUGCUGUGCAAAUGCUCCUAUGAUCUCUUUGGCUGACUGGAGCCAGCACUCAGAAGAAUACUCGUAGAAUUACUAUGUGAGCAAGUGAAUGAUAUUUAUGGGCGUUAUUUUCACAUCGUAGUUCCUGUCAUGUUUCUCCAGGAAAAUGUCACACCAAAAUGAAUUGUUGAGAGAAAGGAAGAAAAACCGCAAGUGGUUGAAUGCAAAAUCUAAAUCGGAUGAGGGGACUAGCUGUGGGGAGCACUACCUUGCUCGGAGAACCCAAACCUCCCCUUUGCAAGUAUCUAGAUUACUGCUGAAUUCCUCUGGAACUGUCAUGAACAUUAGGAACAAUUUGGUAACUUGGCCUUGACACAGGAGGUUCCCUGUGAUCAGCGAUGAGGAGUUCUGGUAGCAACAUUACAUCGCAAAGUGAGUUACCUUGAUGGAAUGAAGUGAAAUUGGUGCCAACAGCUUUCCUUAUACGCCUUGCCUUCUAGUUAGCUUUUUCUUACACAUCAUUAUCAGAUACAGGCUGUAUUUUUUUGUGGACAUUUUCUUGCCUUCUAGUUAGCUUUUUCUUACACAUCAUUAUCAGAUACAGGCUGUAUUUUUUGUGGACAUUUUUUCUUCAGAGGAAUAAAUAUGAUAACAUU
Molecule: long non-coding RNA, 851 nt
Organism: Musa acuminata subsp. malaccensis (wild Malaysian banana)
Lineage: Eukaryota; Viridiplantae; Streptophyta; Magnoliopsida; Zingiberales; Musaceae
Source: RefSeq, a predicted model, not a curated record